RNAcentral lists this ribosomal RNA (1991 nucleotides) under human oral metagenome. RNAcentral describes it as "bacterial LSU rRNA". It matches the Rfam family "Bacterial large subunit ribosomal RNA", at positions 1 to 1999 of the family's 2925-position model. The record is from RNAcentral.
GAAAGUAAUUAAGGGCGCAUGGCGGAUGCCUUGGCUCAUGGAGGCGAUGAAGGACGUGAUAAGCUGCGAUAAGCUGCGGUAAGGUGCAAAUAACCUUCGACCCGCGGAUUUCCGAAUGGGACAACCCAAACACUUUAUGUGUUUAUCACUUAAAGAUUAAGUGAGGCAAACGCAGGGAACUGAAACAUCUUAGUACCUGUAGGAAAAGAAAAUAAACUAAUGAUUCCCCUAGUAGUGGCGAGCGAACGGGGAUUAGCCCAAACCUUCAUUGUAUUUGCAUUGAAGGGGUUGUAGGACCACGUUGUUGUACUUUGAUUGUGAGAAGAAUAUUUUGGAAAGAAUAACCAUAGCGGGUGAUAGUCCCUUAUUCGAAGCAUGAGAAGACAUAGUGUACUCCUGAGUAGUGCGGGACACGAGUAAUCCUGUAUGAAUCUGCCGGGCCCAUCCGGUAAGGCUAAAUACUCCCAUGAGACCGAUAGCGUACCAGUACCGUGAGGGAAAGGUGAAAAGAACUUCGAUAAGAAGAGUGAAAUAGAUCCUGAACCCAUGCGCCUACAAGCGGUCGGAGCAUUUUAUAAUGUGACGGCGUGCCUUUUGCAUAAUGAACCUACGAGUUACCGUCACCAGCAAGGUUAAUCCUCUUGAGUGGAGCAACCGCAGUGAAAGCGAGCCUUAACAGGGCGUAUUAAGUUGGUGGUGGUAGACGCGAAACCAAGUGAUCUACACUUGUCCAGGAUGAAGUUCCGGUAACACGGAAUGGAGGUCCGAACCAAUAAGCGUUGAAAAGCUUCUGGAUGAGGUGAGUGUAGGAGUGAAAGGCCAAUCAAACUUGGAGAUAGCUCGUACUCCCCGAAAGGCAUUUAGGUGCCGCGUACAAUGUUUUUCUUAAGAGGUAGAGCGACCGAUAGGUCAAGAGGGCUUCACCGCCUAUCGAGACCUGACGAACUCCGAAUGCUUAAGUUAUGAAGUUGUGCAGUAAGGGGGCGGGUGCUAAGGUCCGUCCCCGAGAGGAGAAGAAUCCAGACCGUCGUUUAAGGUCCCCAAAUUCUGACUAAGUUAGUCUAACGAAGUCUGGUCCCCAUGACAGCCAGGAUGUUGGCUUGGAAGCAGCCAUUCAUUCAAAGAGUGCGUAACAGCUCACUGGUCGAGGGUCCGGGCAUGGAUAAUAAUCGGGUAUAAGUCAGAUACCGAAGGCGCGGGAUAGAAUUUAAAAAAGUAUCGGUAGGGGAGCAUUCCAUCAGCGUAGAAUGUUAGAGGACGACUCUAGCUGGAGCUUAUGGAAAAGCAAAUGUAGGUAUAAGUAACGAUAAGGAGGGUAAGAUUCCCUCCCGCCGUAAGACCAAGGUUUCCCGGGCAAUGUCAAUCACCCCGGGGUUAGUCGGGUCCUAAGUCUCAGCCGAAUGGCGAUGGCGAUGGUAGAAACGGUUAAUAUUCCGUUACUGCUUUAAUGAGUGAUGGGCAGACGAAGAAGUGACACCACCGCGAGGCGACGGAAGUCCUCGUUAAAGAGUGUAGGAGUUGAUGAGCGCAGGCAAAUCCACGUUCAGAUCCGACCUUGAUAGUAUAGAAUACUACUCGUAGUAUUUUAAUAGUGUGGGUAAUCCUGCUUCCAAGAAAAUGCUCUAAACAUAUUGUUAAAGCACCCGUACCGUAAACGGACACACGUAGUCGGGUAGAAUAUACUAAGGCGUUGAGAGAUUCAUGGUUAAGGAACUAGGCAAAUUGACCCCGUAACUUCGGGAUAAGGGGUCCUCAUGUUUAAUGAGGCGCAGAGAAUCGGUCCAGGCAACUGUUUAACAAAAACACAGGGCUGUGCUAACUCGAAAGAUGAUGUAUACAGUCUGACACCUGCCCGGUGCUGGAAGGUUAAGAGGAGAGCUUAUUCUUCGGAAGACGGUUUGAAUUGAAGCCCCAGUAAACGGCGGCCGUAACUAUAACGGUCCUAAGGUAGCGAAAUUCCUUGUCGGGUAAGUUCCGACCUGCACGAAUGG